This 331-nucleotide ribosomal RNA is filed under the name uncultured eukaryote. RNAcentral describes it as "partial 18S ribosomal RNA". It matches the Rfam family "Eukaryotic small subunit ribosomal RNA", at positions 1470 to 1796 of the family's 1831-position model. The record is from RNAcentral.
CCCUUAGAUGUUCUGGGCCGCACGCGCGCUACACUGACGGAGGCAGCGAGCAUGUCCUUCGCCGAGAGGUGUGGGGAAUCUUGUGAGUCUCCGUCGUGCUGGGGAUAGAUGGUUGCGAUUGUCGAUCUUGAACGAGGAAUUCCUAGUAAGCGCGAGUCAUCAGCUCGCGCUGAUUACGUCCCUGCCCUUUGUACACACCGCCCGUCGCUACUACCGAUUGGAUGGCUUAGCGAGAAUUUUGGAUCGGAGCCCGGGUGGUCGGCAACGGUCGCCCGGGAGAUCUGAGAAAUCAUUCCAGCUUGGUCAUCUAGAGGAAGUAAAAGUCGUAACA